This 343-nucleotide long non-coding RNA is filed under the name Ananas comosus (pineapple). RNAcentral's name for it is "long non-coding RNA (ACOM_LNC017674)". The record is from RNAcentral. Lineage: Eukaryota; Viridiplantae; Streptophyta; Magnoliopsida; Poales; Bromeliaceae.
GAUCAAGUUUAACGGAGCCGAUUGACGAUUCGAAAGUCGCAAUAUCAAAAAUGAGUUAGAAGCACGGAAGGCUCCGUGCACGGAAGGCUACUAUACUAUCGAUAGUACCAAGCCUUUGGUACUAUUGAGUUUUCUACCAUUAGAUUUACCCUUUGAUCAUUUUCAUCCGUUAGAUUAUACUAUUAAACCAACCACCCACUCAACUCUAGGGGACCACUAUCAAUUUAACCGGAACCACUAUCAUCCUAACCGCACAUCCUUUCAUCCAACGGCCGAAAACUCAAUAGUACCAAAGGCUUGGUACUAUUGAUAGUAUAGUAGCAUAAUUCUAUAUAUAUAUAUA